Molecule: long non-coding RNA, 817 nt
Filed under: Ananas comosus (pineapple)
Lineage: Eukaryota; Viridiplantae; Streptophyta; Magnoliopsida; Poales; Bromeliaceae
Description: long non-coding RNA (ACOM_LNC001618)
Source: RNAcentral
UUGGAGGCGAGGAAGGUGGGGGUGCAUGGACGAGGGCAAGGGCGAGGGCGAGGGCGAGAGAAUGAGCGUGAGAGGCGAGACGGACCGUUUCCGCCUCCACUCUGCCGGCGAGAAAAAAAAAAAAGAACGAGAGAAACGAAGAGGAGAGAGAAAGAGGAAAGAGAAAAAGUAAAAAGGGUAUUUUGGUCAGUUUGCUGAAAAAGCGGACCGAAUCUGCAAAAACGAAAAAUGUGGCCCGGUUUUGCAAAAGCCGAAAAUAAGUGAAUUUUUUAUGCAAAUUGGCCAUUAUAAAAUAACAUAUUAAUUUUAGAUUAAUAAUAUUAAAGCAAUUUACCUUUUUUCUUUUUUUUCAAAAUUUUAAGUGUAGGUAGGACUCGUAAUAUGUCUCACUGUUCAUAAAUCAGUUCGUACUCAGGCACAAAAUUGGCCAGAGCUCGACUUGUGAAAUAACCGUUGUACUCUAAAAGCUUAAGUUUAAGUUGUUAGGGAACGGUGUUUAAAUAUUUUUAUAUUUAACACUCCCCCUCACGUCUCGGCUCGAGACUUUUUAGUCUGCUCAUGACGUGAGCUUGAAUUAAAUAGAAGGAAAUUAUUAUGCUAGGAGCCUGUCGUAACUCGAACUCAGGACCUCCUGCUCUGAUACCAUGUGAAACAACCGUUGUACUCUAAAAGCUUAAGCUGUUAGAGAACAGUGUUUAAAUAUUUUUAUAUUUAACACGACUUACUUAUUUAAUAAACAAGUCGAGCGUGAAGUUAUUUUUUUAGCUCGAAAAAUUAAUAAAUAGAACAUGAACUGUUCCUAGCUCAGCUCAUAUUU